UACAGAGGGUGCGAGCGUUGUCCGGAAUCACUGGGCGUAAAGGGCGCGUAGGUGGCGAUCCAAGUCCAUGGUGAAAGCUCGAUGCUCAACAUCGAGUCGGCCACGGAUACUGGGUUGCUUGAGCACUGUAGGGGCAGAUGGAAUUCCGGGUGUAGCGGUGGAAUGCGUAGAGAUCCGGAAGAACACCGGUGGCGAAGGCGGCCUGCUGGGCAGUUUGCUGACACUGAGGCGCGACAGCGUGGGGAGCAAACAGG
This 254-nucleotide ribosomal RNA is filed under the name uncultured bacterium. RNAcentral describes it as "partial 16S ribosomal RNA". It matches the Rfam family "Bacterial small subunit ribosomal RNA", at positions 524 to 776 of the family's 1533-position model. The record is from RNAcentral.